UACAGAGGUCUCAAGCGUUGUUCGGAUUCAUUGGGCGUAAAGGGCGUGUAGGCGGUUAAGUAAGUGGGAUGUGAAAUCCCUCGGCUCACCCGAGGACCUGCAUCCCAAACUGCUUAGCUUGAGUAUGGGAGAGGAUGAGGGAAUUCCUGGUGUAGCGGUGAAAUGCGUAGAUAUCAGGAGGAACACCGGUGGCGAAGGCGCUCAUCUGGCCCAAUACUGACGCUGAGGCGCGAAAGCUAGGGGAGCAAACGGG
This 253-nucleotide ribosomal RNA is filed under the name uncultured bacterium. RNAcentral's name for it is "partial 16S ribosomal RNA". It matches the Rfam family "Bacterial small subunit ribosomal RNA", at positions 524 to 776 of the family's 1533-position model. The record is from RNAcentral.